This 460-nucleotide ribosomal RNA is filed under the name uncultured bacterium. Its description in RNAcentral is "partial 16S ribosomal RNA". It matches the Rfam family "Bacterial small subunit ribosomal RNA", at positions 338 to 795 of the family's 1533-position model. The record is from RNAcentral.
CCUACGGGUGGCAGCAGUGAGGAAUAUUGGUCAAUGGGCGCGAGCCUGAACCAGCCAAGUCGCGUGAGGGAUGACGGCCCUACGGGUUGUAAACCUCUUUUGCCGGGGAGCAACGGGCGCCACGUGUGGCGCCACUGAGAGUACCCGGAGAAAAAGCAUCGGCUAACUCCGUGCCAGCAGCCGCGGUAAUACGGAGGAUGCGAGCGUUAUCCGGAUUCAUUGGGUUUAAAGGGUGCGCAGGCGGGCCUUUAAGCCGGCGGUGAAAUCGCGGGGCUCAACCCCGCCGAGCCGUCGGAACUGGGGGCCUUGAGUGCGGCGGAGGCAUGCGGAAUGCGCGGUGUAGCGGUGAAAUGCAUAGAUAUCGCGCAGAACCCCGAUUGCGAAGGCAGCGUGCCGUGCCGCCACUGACGCUGAGGCACGAAAGCGCGGGGAUCGAACAGGAUUAGAUACCCCUGUAGUC